AUUAUUAUUAAACUGAUUUAUAUCUUAAGUUUUUGUUAAAUGUUUUUUCUUUUUCUUCUUUUAUUUUUUUGUAUAAAUCUUCGUUUGGCAUUUGUAUUAUAAAAAUGUAUUCCCCCUUUUGUACAUAUUGUUUUCAAGUUGAUUUUCUUUUUCUUUCUUUCUUUUUUUCUUUUUCUUUUUUCUUUUUUUUUAUACUAACGAUACAAACGAAGCUCUUAAAGGAAUUGUAUUGUACAUUUUACGUGUAUACACUACAGUUCGUUGUGAAUAUCGUUGUGUGUACGAAGUAUUGGAAUAAAGUUCCAUAUCAAGAAAUAAUCGAUCUCUUUUCGCACCUGAUUCAAAUUUUAUUUAUCAUAUACAUAAUAAAAUAUAUCAACCAUUUAGAAGAUUAAUAAAGGUUCUAUUUCCAUACUUUCCACGUGGUCGAUAGAUUGCUUAAGUGAAAAUUUUUUCUCUUGCAUUUUUUUAAAAUCAUCAUCUAUUACCUUGGGAUCUACCUUUUGGCAUAAAUGAUCUACUAUUGUCGCAGCCUAUAAAGAAAGGACAAAGUGUCCUAUGCAUUAGAGCAAAUUGCAUAUAACAUGCUGCUGAACAAAAACAUAAUUCGUCACCAGGUUCUGCUUCUUCCUUACUCAAAAAUGGUAAAUCUGACACUUUUUUUCUUAUUAAGCUAUUUAAUAU
Long non-coding RNA from Vespa crabro (European hornet), 684 nucleotides. RefSeq lists it as uncharacterized. NCBI's taxonomy places the organism in Eukaryota, Metazoa, Arthropoda, Insecta, Hymenoptera, Vespidae. The transcript is spliced from 3 exons. The record is from RefSeq and is a predicted model, not a curated record.